UGUGACCCGAUCGUUUUCGAAUUCUCCGAGCUCAAGUAUAAUCGAGUGACGAUACCUUAUAAUCCGAAUGUAGCGCCAAGUUAUAUAUUUACUUGUCGUUUCCCACGUUUUCGCUGAUAACGAAAGAAAGUAACUCUCUAUGUAUGUGUACAGUGUAUGCUGACCUCGCACAGUAUUUUCUGUAUUCGACGUUUAACCGAGACUAUUUUAACUCUUCACGCACCGCAGAAUAAAAACAAUUUUCCAUGCAUCGCCAACUACUGUUAAUCGCUUUUAACUUUAACGAUCGCCGUUUAUUUGCCGGUAACUGCUUGUUGCUUCAAUUUCGAUUACAUUCACUUUGCUUCUCGAGUCGAUGAAACGACGGAACACACGGCAAGGUACCAUCUUUCCGCUGUUUUAGUUUAACAACGUGUUAAAACGAUCAAAAUCGCGGUCAAUAAGGGAAAGAUUAAAAGCGUAGAUAUAUGUACACAUAUAUUCGAAGCCAAGUGGAGAUACAGGAGAGUUUGAAGGCUGGGUGGCGGCUGUAGGGCAUGCCGGUAUGGCGAACAACACUCUCUACCGAUUCAGCGUAUGCGGUAGAACCUAUUCUCGGAAGACUUCGUAUCAUCGACACAUAGGAGAAAAAUGCGGCAAGCAUCGAAGAGUAAAAAGUGUAAAAACUGCGAGUACAGCGUGGAAGCGAAAUAAACGUACUCGGUGUAUGGUAGAAAAUUCCGUGAUAAAAAUCCUUCAGGAAGCGAAUCGGAUAUCGAAAGAACCGUUCUACGAUUAAUUUUUUUUUUUUUCGUUAACGUCGAUAACCUUUGAACGUUGUUAAUGUUAUUAAUACACGCACAAAUGUUGCGUCAUUUACCGAAAUUAUUCAGUUAUUUUUCAGGUAGUAUCUAUACGUAACACGAGCUGGAAGAGCAAUAAAGAAGAGUACUCGAAGAGGGACCACAAUCGUGUCAACUACGACACUCCGUUUACCUGUUACAAGUGUGGGAAACGUUACACGUGGACGGACUCCUUGACCAGACAUCUUCGAGAAGGCUGCGGAAAGUUACCUAGGCACAAGUGUACCCUCUGCGGCAGAAAAUUCAAACGCAGAGAUUACUUGUUACGUCACGAAAAUAACGUUCACAAAGCAGAGUGAGAUGAUUAGAAUUGGGAAACCUUUCCGAAACCAUGAACGUCGAGAAUCUCAAGCUCCUGCGUCCCUUUGCAAACCGAUCGGAACAUUUCGGACGGUAAUGUUCUCCCUUUCGGUAAAAAAGAAAAGAAAACAUUUUUAUAUCGCCUUUUCCCGAUAGUUUUUUUAAACAUUCCGAACUUGACAAGAAGAGUACGAUAUUAGAAUGCGUUUCAUCGUCUGCGUUAGCGUAUCUCGAUACUGGAGAUACCGAUUUGCACGUUUAUAAGACUGACACCGUUGAUUUCAAAUCAUCGAUGCAUCUCACUGAUAAACACAAAAAGAACACUUUUCCAUGAUAUUACUUCGGUUGACUAUAAAUUCUGAAUUCUGAAUUCUAAAUUCCGAAUUCCGAAUUUCGGUUCUUAAAUUUGUGAAUCGCGGAAUUCAUUCGAGAUCGCGUUUAUAGAAUCUCUGACGUUGUAAAGAAUUGUAUAAGAAUGUGAUUCCAACUCGAAUCCUUCAAGUGUUUAUUAUUCAAAAUUAAUAACGAAUCUCCUAAUUUAUUAAGAUAGGACCGAGAGAGCGAAUCAUCGUGUUUAUACCUGUAUCUUUCUUAACGUCAGUUUACGUAUUUUCAUACGUUUACAGUGUAAAUAAAUAUUUCUAUUGCGUAUAGUGGUCCACGCGUUACAGAUUCAUCUGUUUAGAGAACACAAUACCGUCUAUCACCGUUUAAUAAGACUCGAACGAUUACUCUGAGAAUAUGCGAUUUAAAAUAAAUGAAACGUAUAAUAGGGUUUCGAUUGUUACAAUAGCGUGAAAACGUUGUAGUACGAGUAAUCGAUUGAAAAGACUACGCAGCGACUGCCAAAUGAAACAAGAACUACUUACACCGAGACAGAAAACCAAGCCUCAACUGGAAUUAACACGGACCGAACGUUUCAAGAAUGGAGCAACGCGGAAUCUGAUUGCUAAUGAUUACAUCUGAAUAAUAUUUGAGCUUUUAGCAAGCAACUAUUUUAACGCAAAACUGGUGAUGGACCGAUUAAUUGAAAACAGCUCGCAAUUUUAAUAAAGCGUUUUCAUCGAAA
Bombus pascuorum is the source of this 2211-nucleotide long non-coding RNA. RefSeq lists it as uncharacterized. The transcript is spliced from 3 exons. Lineage: Eukaryota; Metazoa; Arthropoda; Insecta; Hymenoptera; Apidae. The record is from RefSeq and is a predicted model, not a curated record.